Vitis riparia (riverbank grape) is the source of this 274-nucleotide long non-coding RNA. RefSeq lists it as uncharacterized. The transcript is spliced from 3 exons. Lineage: Eukaryota; Viridiplantae; Streptophyta; Magnoliopsida; Vitales; Vitaceae. The record is from RefSeq and is a predicted model, not a curated record.
CAGGUGGGUGGAGACCACCAUCGCCGUGAACCGGGCCAACCUCCUCCAAGCCGACGUCUUUGACCUCAUCAAAGAAGUCUCCCUCAAGGACCGCGAGCUCAGGAUUGUGGGCGAGGUCGGUGCCAAGAUCCGAGUCUUAGACUUCAUUUCUCCCGAUGUCCAGGAGCGAACGCGAUGGUCUUGAAGUUGUUAGAAAUCCAAAGAGGCCUAUCGGCGCUUGGAUACAUUACUAUAACGAUCAAUUAGCCAUGAUGAAAGAGAAGGAUAAAGGAGU